Molecule: ribosomal RNA, 1518 nt
Filed under: Heyndrickxia sporothermodurans
Lineage: Bacteria; Bacillati; Bacillota; Bacilli; Caryophanales; Bacillaceae
Description: Bacillus sporothermodurans partial 16S ribosomal RNA
Rfam family: Bacterial small subunit ribosomal RNA
Source: RNAcentral
GGGGAGGGGGGUUAUUUGAACGGCGCUUGAUUUGACCUGGCUCAGUGCGGCUGGGUCACCUCCUUAGAGUUUGAUUAUCCGGCGGAGGGGGGGGUACCACCUGGGUAACCUGGCUGGUAGAAUGGGGUUACUCCCGGGAACCGGGGGUAAUACCGGAUAACUUUUUUCUUCGCAUGAAGGAAAAUUGAAAGGGGGGUUUUAGCUCCCCCUUACAGAGGGACCCGCGGCGCAUUAGUUAGUUGGGGAGGUAACGGCUCCCCAAGGCGACAAUGCGUACCCAAUUUGAGAGGGGGAUCGGCCCCCCGGGGACUGAAACACGGCCCAAACUCCUACGGGAGGCAGCAGUAGGGAAUCUUCCCCAAGGGACAAAAGUCUGACGGACCACCCCCGCGGGGGGGAGGAAGGUUUUCGGAUCGAAAAAUUUUGUUGUUAGGGAAAAACAAUUUUCUUUCGAAUAGGGGGGUACCUUGACGGUCCCUAACCAAAAAGCCCCGGUUAACUCCGUGCCACCAGCCGCGGUAAAACCUAGGGGGGGAAGCGUUUUCCGGAAUUUUUGGGGGUAAAGGGCGCGCGGGCGGUUUCUUAAGUCGAAGGGGAAACCCCCCGCCUCCCCCCGGGGAGGGUCUUUGGAAACUGGGGGAACUUGGGGGCAAAAAAAAAAAAAGGGGAAAUUCCCCCCUGUAACGGGAAAAUGGGGUAAAAAAUUGGGGAAGGAACCACCAGUGGCGAAGGCGGCUCUUUGGUCUGUAACUGACGCUGAGGCGCGAAAGCGUGGGGAGCGAACAGGAUUAGAUACCCUGGUAGUCCACCCCGUAAACGAUGAGUGCUAAGUGUUAGAGGGUUUCCGCCCUUUAGUGCUGCAGCUAACGCAUUAAGCACUCCGCCUGGGGAGUACGGCCGCAAGGCUGAAACUCAAAGGAAUUGACGGGGGCCCGCACAAGCGGUGGAGCAUGUGGUUUAAUUCGAAGCAACGCGAAGAACCUUACCAGGUCUUGACAUCCUCUUGCCCUCCCUAGAGAUAGGGAUUUCCCUUCGGGGACAAGAGUGACAGGUGGUGCAUGGUUGUCGUCAGCUCGUGUCGUGAGAUGUUGGGUUAAGUCCCGCAACGAGCGCAACCCUUGACCUUAGUUGCCAGCAUUCAGUUGGGCACUCUAAGGUGACUGCCGGUGACAAACCGGAGGAAGGUGGGGAUGACGUCAAAUCAUCAUGCCCCUUAUGACCUGGGCUACACACGUGCUACAAUGGAUGGUACAAAGGGUUGCUAGACCGCGAGGUUACGCCAAUCCCAUAAAACCAUUCUCAGUUCGGAUUGUAGGCUGCAACUCGCCUACAUGAAGCCGGAAUCGCUAGUAAUCGCGGAUCAGCAUGCCGCGGUGAAUACGUUCCCGGGCCUUGUACACACCGCCCGUCACACCACGAGAGUUUGUAACACCCGAAGUCGGUGAGGUAACCUUUUGGAGCCAUUCCGCCGAAGGUGGGACUAGAUGCGGGGGGUCACCUCCCCUAGAGGUGACCCGA